Molecule: ribosomal RNA, 505 nt
Filed under: uncultured bacterium
Lineage: Bacteria
Description: partial 16S ribosomal RNA
Rfam family: Bacterial small subunit ribosomal RNA
Source: RNAcentral
GACGAACGCUGGCGGCGUGCCUAAUACAUGCAAGUCGAACGCACAGUUUAUACCGUAGCUUGCUACACCAUAGACUGUGAGUUGCGAACGGGUGAGUAACGCGUAGGUAACCUGCCUGGUAGCGGGGGAUAACUAUUGGAAACGAUAGCUAAUACCGCAUAAUAUUAAUUAUUGCAUGAUAAUUAAUUGAAAGGUGCAAUUGCACCACUACCAGAUGGACCUGCGUUGUAUUAGCUAGUAGGUGAGGUAACGGCUCACCUAGGCGACGAUACAUAGCCGACCUGAGAGGGUGAUCGGCCACACUGGGACUGAGACACGGCCCAGACUCCUACGGGAGGCAGCAGUAGGGAAUCUUCGGCAAUGGACGAAAGUCUGACCGAGAAACGCCGCGUGAGUGAAGAAGGGUGUCGGAUCGUAAAGCUCUGUUGUAAGAGAAGAACGGGUGUGAGAGUGGAAAGUUCACACUGUGACGGUAUCUUACCAGAAAGGGACGGCUAACUACGUG